AAAAAUUUAUAAGUUUAUUCCCAUAAUAGAUAAAUAAAAAUAAAACAAAGAAAAAAAAUUGAAACUGCAAAGCUUUAAAAUAAAGCAAACUCCAAAUCCCCAGAAAAGCUCAAAGGACCAAAAAUACCCACAACACCUAAUGUUACUUCCUAGGGAGCCUAACUCCCUCUUGUUGUUCAUCCGAUUCUGGAAUCACUUCAAAAACAAGAUCGUCUUUAGGUACAAUCGAAAGACUGCCAGCCAAUUGCACCAUAUACGUCUUCAACAUUACUCGAGUUGAGCCAGAGGUCUUGAAUCGGGUGUUAUUACCAUGAUAAAUUUUG
RNAcentral lists this long non-coding RNA (323 nucleotides) under Gossypium barbadense (sea-island cotton). RNAcentral's name for it is "long non-coding RNA (GBAR_LNC007646)". The record is from RNAcentral. Lineage: Eukaryota; Viridiplantae; Streptophyta; Magnoliopsida; Malvales; Malvaceae.